Manis pentadactyla (Chinese pangolin) is the source of this 2850-nucleotide long non-coding RNA. RefSeq lists it as uncharacterized. NCBI's taxonomy places the organism in Eukaryota, Metazoa, Chordata, Mammalia, Pholidota, Manidae. The transcript has 3 exons. The record is from RefSeq and is a predicted model, not a curated record.
CCGUCUGCCACUUUGUGCAGGUGCCCUGGGGGAAAUGCACACUGAACCAGCUGUCGCCUUGGCCUGCAGGGAGCUCACCCCCUUGCUGCUCAUGGAUGGCUGAACUGGAUCCUGUGAUGCGGUGGGUGUGAGGGGGAGAAGGGGCGGCUGCUGGAAGAGGGCAUUCCCACCCUGAAAGGAGACACUGGCAGGAAUAAAGUGGUUAUGAAGCCCCACAGGGCAAGUUGCGUUAGGCUCCAGGGGUUUGCCCCUGUGCCCUCCGUCUCCUGGCAGCAGAGGCCACCCCGCCAGUGGCUGAGCUGUCCUGAGUCACUCUUCCUGUUCCUUGAAGGCUAAGCUGGUCCCCCGGGGCCGGCUCUUCAGCAGGCUUCCUGCCUGCAGAGUCGUGCACGUGGAGGGGGCCCAUCCUGCAGCAGAGAGCCUAGGACCUGUGGCAGCAGGGAACGCCAUCAGCUCUGCUGGCCUUCCAGCAGCUCUGUCCUGUGUCCUGGUGAGGCCCCUGUGGGUGGCACUCCUCUCCAUGUACAUUGCAAGAGGGGCCGCCAGGCAGUAACGCUUGUACUGGAUAUUGAGUCCCCCUGAUCCCAACUCACUUGCUUUUGUUGCCUUUUCCGCCAGUGCCCAAGGCCCCAUGCAACCAGGCUCUCCUUCCCUCUUUUACCUGUUAGGCCAAGUGUAAUGCUUUGCUCCUGGUGGGUCCAAAGCCAGACACUUGAUUUGAGAAAGAUGCUCACAAGCACUACAGAAGCCCCAAGUUCUGUCAGGGCCUGGUUUCCUAGAGCUCGAUUUCUAACAGACAGGGAUUGGCAGAAGGGGCGGUGACAGGGCUUCCUGCCUGGCCACCCAGGGCUUUGCGGUACCACCCAGGGCGCUGCUGUGCCUGAGUUCCUGCGGCCGGAAAGGGUGUGUUGGGUGGACACACCGAUGUGCUAGGAGUCUGGGUGGACGGCCAAACACAUGCCAAGCCUCCCCGGUAGCUACGACACUAGCCUGUCCCUGAAUCGGUACAUGUCAACCCCAAUGUAAUAAGCAGGCAGUCCCCUCCGGAUUAACCCUCCUGAGAUACGAGCUGCCUCCAUGUCAUGCCUCCGAGGCUCAUCAUGUGCUUCUUUUGAGCAACAGUUGGCAGCUGGUCUCUCCUCUGCACAGGGCCUGCCUUGCUCUCCAUCUGAUCGGCAGGGGCUAGAGUCUGGAAGGGUGGGGGGGGGAGGAUGCAGGGAACCCGGGCAUGGCCUGUGGACAUGGUCACUGGGUCACUCCAUCACCUUAAAAACACCUCAUGACAUGUCCUUUAGGUCUGGGAAGGGCCUUUAGGGCCAGGAAAUGUUAAUGAAAAAUUCCUCAGUCAAUGAGUGUACCCUAGGACUUGGGGAGACACUUUUUGCAAAAGAAGCCCAAAGCUAUGCUGGGUGGGGCAGCUGCGGGACCCCAUUGUCCCAGCUGGCAGGCCAGGUGAACUCUGUGGCUCAGGUCUUGCAGCCAGUGCCUUUUAAUAAGAUUAUGGAAUGGGAACAGAUGCCAUAUAUCUUGAGAAAAGAUAGUUAUCGCUCUCAUGAGACUCAAGUCCAUAUGCACCUCGAGGGAGAGCCCUCUGUGGUGGGGACACCUGCCCCUGCUGCAGCCAUGUGACCCCUCGGGCAACAGCAGGACAUCUGUCCUUGUGGGUCCCCAUCUGCGCAGCGUCUGUGCAGUCCGGGCAGCAUUGGUAGGAGCUUUUGGGGGAAGGCGGUGGGCUGUCCUUGAGCAGCGGGGCUGGAGUGUUCUGUGGCCACACUGUCGCUGAGCCCCUCAGCGUGUUCUUCCAGCCUGGCCCUGGCCCUGUGAUCACGUUAAUUUUCUGUGUUUCGGCCCCUCGGCAGCUCUUCCUGGUUUGGUUCCUAUCGGUGCAAUUUCUUGCCUUUCUCCAGGGGACCUUUUGCACAAUUUAUAAUAUUGUUCCUCUUCUAAACUUCCUCUUGUCCACUCUGCUCAAAUCAGCUGAUGCCUGCCUUCUCCAAAGUUUCAGAGAUGGUUGUAAGCCUUGUCAGGCUGGUAAGGGUUAGGCUGGCCGUACUGGACUACACUCUGUUGUCACAGCCAAGGGUGGGGGUUCAAGUUCUCUGCCUCCUGUGCCAAUGAAAAUACAGAGACUGUAUGUCAGAUAUUUCAGGUUGUUCUCAGAUUGAUCCCAGGAUCCUAUCUUUUUACUCAAGGACUCUUUCUGGUACUUGCCAGUCAUUUCUAAUUAUUUUGUUUAAUCACUUUCUUACACUUCUGUGAAUCUAGGAGUGUGGGAGUCCCUUGAUGUGGCUUAACCUGGUCUGUAGGAGCCGCUGGUAUGACGAUGGCUGGUGAUGGCAAUUUGAGGCAAGUGUUUUCUAACUUCUCCAUGUCUCCCUUUUCAAACACUUAAAAUCCUGACCUUGAGAAAGUUUGGGACUUUUCUGUCACUUAGAUAAAUCUGAGCAAUUAAUUUUUUAAUGGUUCCCAGGUCUUGCAUCUUCACUUUUUCCUUUGAUUCUUUUAUGUGUGAUCAGUUGGAAAAGGUAGCAUCUGAAAAUAUAUGGAACAAAUUAAUAUGCGGCCCAGGGACAGCUUGAAACAAUGGGAAGAGGGGGAGUCACAUUAGAUGCCACAUCGAAUGCCAGCAUGGCCCUUGCCACGGACACCGUUGUUGUUUGUGUUGGUCGGUGGUCUUUUGACGACGACAAGUGUAACCUCUUAGAUCGCCAACAGUAGGGAAGCCUCGUGAAUUUAGAAACUGGACAUUUAACUCUCUGCACACAUGGCCAAGUGGAGCACCGAGAUGCACGAAACUCUCAGUCAGCUCAGGCGGCUGAGCAGCGCGGAGCCCGGCAGACGGGGCGGCUC